This is a long non-coding RNA of Odontomachus brunneus, 970 nucleotides long. RefSeq lists it as uncharacterized. The record is from RefSeq and is a predicted model, not a curated record. The transcript is spliced from 5 exons. NCBI's taxonomy places the organism in Eukaryota, Metazoa, Arthropoda, Insecta, Hymenoptera, Formicidae.
UUGUGUUCAGCUGACCUAAGAGUCAUAUCGGUGAUGUGUUCAUUUAUCUGUUGUACGAAAAAAAACAAAAUAUUCCUUUAUAUAUUUGUAAAUACUCCUUUAUAUAUUUGUUUUACAUAUCUAUUAUACAAAAAUUGCAAAAUAUUCCUUUUGAAACGUUAAUACAAUAUCCAGGUAAAAUUUUAGGUUGCAUCUCAAGAAGUGAACUCAAAUAUUCUUGAAAUAUCGGAAACAAAUCCAAACUGGACACUAUAACCAGAAAUCAAGUUUAAAUAAUUACGAAGAAGCAUUGGAACGCUUACAAAAAUCAAAAGAAAAAAAUUAUGCUUUUACGACAGAUUGUGAAAGUGAUUAUAUGCAAAAAAUAGAUCAAAUAAUUAAACAGGUAAAAUCUAAAAAUAAAAAAAAGAAUGAGGUUGAUAAAAUUCUGAAUAAUGUAUUAAACAAGGAUAAAGAUAACCAGAAUUUAAUAAAUUCGUCAGAAUGUGAGUUAUCAAUAAAAUCAAUAGAGAACUUAUCAAACCCAAUACUUUUUGUAGAAGAUAAUAUAAACACUGAAACAUCAACAAUAAAUACCGACGAAAAUUUUCGAUAAAAUGUUACUACAGAUGAAAAUUUAGAAUGUAUGAAAUUGAUUAUAACGAAAAUUAAAAAAUUGGAAUAUGCAGUGGAAAAAGCAAAUAUAGAAAUUAAUAAAAAAUUUAAUAUACUAUUGUCAAGAAACGUAAAUCUUACAAAUAUAAGCCAAAAUUAUUAUGAAAAAAAUGACAUCCAAAUACCAUUUAAGACUACAGAACAAUUUUUUAACUUUUGUGAAUUAUUAGAAAAAGAAGAAGAUUGUCGACGGCACUUUGGAAGCAUAAUUUAUAUUUAUAAUCGUAUUUACAAAAUUAUUACAAAAUGUAGUAACAUAUAUCAUUUUCAGACUUAUUCCAUUAAUAUUUUGAUAGAUAUUAAUUUAAAUAUAUCC